GUCGGGAGUCUUGCACAAUGGGGGAAACCCUGAUGCAGCGACGUCGCGUGUGGGAUGAAGUAUUUCGGUAUGUAAACCACUUUUGCGGGGGGCGAAAAAAAUGACGGUACCCCGCGAAUAAGCCCCGGCUAACUACGUGCCAGCAGCCGCGGUAAUACGUAGGGGGCGAGCGUUGCUCGGAUUGACUGGGCGUAAAGCGCGCGUAGGCGGUCCAUUAAGUGUGCGGUGAAAUUCGGAGGCUCAACCUCCGUCCCGCCGCGCAAACUGAUGGUCUUGAGAUUGGGAGGGGGAUGCGGAAUUCCUGGUGUAGCGGUGAAAUGCAUUGAUAUCAGGAGGAACACCGGCGGCGAAAGCGGCAUCCUGGCUUAUAUCUGACGCUGAGGCGCGAAAGCGUGGGUAGCAAACGGGAUUAGAUACCCCGGUAGUCC
RNAcentral lists this ribosomal RNA (428 nucleotides) under uncultured bacterium. RNAcentral's name for it is "partial 16S ribosomal RNA". It matches the Rfam family "Bacterial small subunit ribosomal RNA", at positions 354 to 796 of the family's 1533-position model. The record is from RNAcentral.